RNAcentral lists this ribosomal RNA (1121 nucleotides) under uncultured Sphingobacteriales bacterium. RNAcentral describes it as "bacterial SSU rRNA". It matches the Rfam family "Bacterial small subunit ribosomal RNA", at positions 395 to 1503 of the family's 1533-position model. The record is from RNAcentral. Lineage: Bacteria; Pseudomonadati; Bacteroidota; Sphingobacteriia; Sphingobacteriales.
CCGACCGUAAUGCAUGGAACGGCCCUAUGGGUUGUAAACGUUCUUUCUCGUACUGGGAAAAAGAUCCACCGGUUGCGUGUAUUCCGGUGCUCGAUGGUACCGUAAGAAGUAAGCAUCGGCUAGACUACCGUGCCAGCAGCCGCGGUGAAUACGGAGCGACUGCAAGCGUUAUCCUGGAUUCAUUGGGUUUAAAGGGUGCGCAGGCGGAGUGAUAAGUCAGUGGUGAAAGCCUACAGCUUAACUGUAGAACUGCCAUUGAUACUGUCAUUCAUUGAGUAUUGUUGAGGUAGGCGGAAUGUGUCAUGUAGCGGUGAACAUGCUUAGAUAUGACACAGAACACCGAUCGCGAAGGCAGCUUACCAAGCAAUAACUGACGCUCAUGCACGAAAGCGUGGGGAUCAAACAGGAUUAGAUACCCUGGUAGUCCACGCCGUAAACGAUGAUCACUCGAUGUUGGCGAUACACAGUCAGCGUCUUAGGGAAACUAUUAAGUGAUCCACCUGGGGAGUACGGUCGCAAGAUUGAAACUCAAAGGAAUUGACGGGGGCCCGCACAAGCGGAGGAGCAUGUGGUUUAAUUCGAUGAUACGCGAGGAACCUUACCUGGGCUCGAACGUGGAAUGACAGUCGCGGAAACGUGAUCUUCCUUCGGGACAUUCUACGAGGUGCUGCAUGGUUGUCGUCAGCUCGUGCCGUGAGGUGUCGGGUUAAGUCCCAUAACGAGCGCAACCCCUAUCUUUAGUUGCCAUCAGGUAAUGCUGGGGACUCUAAAGAAACUGCCUACGCAAGUAGUGAGGAAGGCGGGGAUGACGUCAAAUCAGCACGGCCCUUACGUCCAGGGCUACACACGUGGUACAAUGGCCGGUACAGAGGGCAGCUACCUGGUGACAGGAUGCAAAUCUCCAAAGCCGGUCUCAGUUCGGAUCGAAGUCUGAAACUCGACUUCGUGAAGUUGGAUUCGCUAGUAAUCGCGCAUCAGCCAUGGCGCGGUGAAUACGUUCCCGGGCCUUGUACACACCGCCCGUCAAGCCAUGGAAGCUUGGGGUAUCUGAAGUUCGUGACCGCAAGGAGCGACCUAGGGUAAAACAGGUAACUAGGGCUAAGUCGUAACAAGGUAGCCGU